GCCGGAGUGGCGGAAUUGGCAUACGCAGGGCCCUCAAAAGGCCCCGGUCGCAAGGCCUUGUGGGUUCGAGUCCCACCUCCGGCACCG
This 87-nucleotide transfer RNA is filed under the name Deltaproteobacteria bacterium. Its description in RNAcentral is "tRNA-Leu". It matches the Rfam family "tRNA". From Rfam's summary of the family: Transfer RNA (tRNA) molecules are approximately 80 nucleotides in length. Their secondary structure includes four short double-helical elements and three loops (D, anti-codon, and T loops). Lineage: Bacteria; Pseudomonadati; Myxococcota; Myxococcia. The record is from RNAcentral.